UAGGGAAUCUUCGGCAAUGGACGAAAGUCUGACCGAGCAACGCCGCGUGAGUGAAGAAGGUUUUCGGAUCGUAAAACUCUGUUGUUAGAGAAGAACAAGGACGUUAGUAACUGAACGUCCCCUUACGGUAUCUAACCAGAAAGCCACGGCUAACUACCUGCCAGCAGCCGCGGUAAUCCGUAGGUGGCAAGCUUUGUCCGGAUUUAUUGGGCGUAAAGCGAGCGCAGGCGGUUUCUUAAGUCUGAUGUGAAAGCACCCGGCUCAACCGGGGAGGGUCAUUGGAAACUGGGAGACGUGAGUGCAGAAGAGGAGAGUGGAAUUCCAGGUGUAGCGGUGAAAUGCGUAGAUAUAUGGAGGAACACCAGUGGAGAAGGCGGCUCUCUGGUCUGUAACUGACGCGGAGGCUCGAAAGCGUGGGGAGCAAACAGG
Molecule: ribosomal RNA, 429 nt
Filed under: Gemmatimonadota bacterium
Lineage: Bacteria; Pseudomonadati; Gemmatimonadota
Description: Gemmatimonadetes bacterium partial 16S ribosomal RNA
Rfam family: Bacterial small subunit ribosomal RNA
Source: RNAcentral